CCUGGGCAGGAGUUGGCACAUUUUCCUCUGUGCACAGAUCUUCCCCGUGCCAGGCUUACAAAAGGAAGUUUCCGGAGCUGAGCAGCUUUUCAGGAGCUCCAUGGCCAGUUCACCUCCCCAUUCUGACACCUAACGCCGUGAGGCUCCGUCCUUGAAGAGAUGUAACAUGUUCUGGAGAAGAUGUCAAGGGUCACUUCGAAGUGUGCACAGGUGAGUUAAUGAGAGCUGCUGCCUUUCAAUGUGGGCUACUGACGCUUUCUCCAACAGGUAGGUGUCUUGUGUGCAAAGGCCAAUAGUAUUUCCUGCAAUCUGGAGGCAGAUUCUGCUCACAAUCUCGAGACACAGCAAACUCUCCCCACCCGAGAAGAGGAUGGGAUGAGGCACACUGAAGAGGAAAGAAAACUGAUCCUGUAGCCACAGAAAAACAGGACUGAGACCAGGAAGGGCAAGUCGUGUGUGUCAGCAUUGUGGACCUUUAUAUAAAUAAUAAUUUUCCAGUGGGAACUGUGAUCUCUUCUUGUCUCUUCUAUUUUUAAAUGCUAAUUACUUCUGAUUUUGUUUACGUAGGCGGAGCUAAUAAGAACAUUUGCUUCAUAACCAUUGAACCUAAUGUAUCUGUUUUUGGACACUGGUGAUUUAUUUUUGCACACAUGCUCCAAAUUGGUGCUAAUUACUUUAAAGGAUCAGAGUUUCUAUUCCAAGAGGGAUGACGACAGAAUGUCAAUUUGGAGUCUCUGAGCAUAAUGUCCCAAUUAUCAAUGCAUUCCAGACCAGAAUGGACUUGGCACCUUCUUGAAGGGAUUUGGCUUCACUUUUAUCAGCCAGUCCCUGGUUGUAGCUUCAUUAAAACUUGCUUUCUAGUAA
RNAcentral lists this long non-coding RNA (864 nucleotides) under Homo sapiens (human). RNAcentral's name for it is "HSALNT0316983". Lineage: Eukaryota; Metazoa; Chordata; Mammalia; Primates; Hominidae. The record is from RNAcentral.